GCAAAAAGAACUUCUGCGUCAGCCUAGCUUGUGUGGGCUUCUCUCCUCCAAACAAGUGCUGCCUCUCUUCUUCAGACACCAAUCCUUUCGCACUGAUAAUGGUAAUUCUGGCCGAAACAGUGAUAAUUCGUUUGAGAGCUCAGAUGACUUUGAACGACGCUUAUUUGGUGAUAUAAGCAAUAAUGAAAUAAAUGAUUCAUUUUAUCGCAAACUUGACAAACUUGAGAAGGCUCAUGGAAGAUCUGGCAUUGGCUCCAAAUUGAACAGUGAUGAUUCUCGAAUCAUAGAUGGUAUAAGUGAUAGUUUUAAUUCAUUGUCAGAUGGUAUGGAUGAAAAGUUGAAGGAAGCAGCUCGUACGUUUGUUUUUAGUGAUGAGAUACACGAUGAAAAUUAUAAAUUUAGACCAGAUGUGACAUUUUAUCCUGGUAUGACUUACACAACAAGGGAUCUUGAUCUUACAAAACCUGGGGUUCAAAAGAGAUUCAAAAGAAAUGAGUUUGAGACAACCACACAAGAGGUUCUGAAGAAAGCUGAUUUCAGGAAUGUGAGGUUCCUCUCAAAUUUUCUGACUGAAGCAGGAAUUAUAAUUAAAAGAAGCAAGACUCGUAUCAGUGCCAAAGCUCAGAGGAAAGUUGCGAGGGAGAUUAAAACUGCACGGGCUUUUGGGCUAAUGCCGUUCACUACCAUGGGAACGAAGCCUUUUAUCUUUGGGAGAAGUAUGAAAGAUGAAGCUGAGGAUUACGAACACGAACAUAACACCGCAAGCACUGCCACAAAUCCUUAGGAGGAAAGCUGAGGUGGCAUUAAGCCAGCUAGGUUUAAUUCAGGUGUAUGAAUCUUUUAUCUUGACAACCAAGAGGCAGUAAAAGGGGGACAACAAAAAGGUGGCUGUUUACACUCAUCAGAUAUUUAGCUCAAUAAAUGUUACUGCCUUCUGUAGAAAGUUGUUCAUCAUUUUGCUUUAGGCUUGACGUCUAUUAUUCUCAUGAUAACAGAGAUCACAGCUCAGAGCAACGAUUUGCUUUCCUCCACUGCAUGGGCUUUCUCAU
Molecule: RNA transcript, 1049 nt
Organism: Musa acuminata AAA Group (dessert banana)
Lineage: Eukaryota; Viridiplantae; Streptophyta; Magnoliopsida; Zingiberales; Musaceae
Gene name: ribosome protein S18 pseudogene
Source: RefSeq, marked validated